AAACCAACCGGGAUUGCCUUAGUAACGGCGAGUGAAGCGGCAAAAGCUCAAAUUUGAAAUCUGGUACCUUCGGUGCCCGAGUUGUAAUUUGGAGAGGGCAACUUUGGGGCCGUUCCUUGUCUAUGUUCCUUGGAGCAGGACGUCAUAGAGGGUGAGAAUCCCGUGUGGCGAGGAGUGCGGUUCUUUGUAAAGUGCCUUCGAAGAGUCGAGUUGUUUGGGAAUGCAGCUCUAAGUGGGUGGUAAAUUCCAUCUAAAGCUAAAUAUUGGCGAGAGACCGAUAGCGAACAAGUACAGUGAUGGAAAGAUGAAAAGAACUUUGAAAAGAGAGUGAAAAAGUACGUGAAAUUGUUGAAAGGGAAGGGCAUUUGAUCAGACAUGGUGUUUUGUGCCCUCUGCUCCUUGUGGGUAGGGGAAUCUCGCAUUUCACUGGGCCAGCAUCAGUUUUGGUGGCAGGAUAAAUCCAUAGGAAUGUAGCUUGCCUCGGUAAGUAUUAUAGCCUGUGGGAAUACUGCCAGCUGGGACUGAGGACUGCGACGUAAGUCAAGGAUGCUGGCAUAAUGGUUAUAUGCCGC
This 572-nucleotide ribosomal RNA is filed under the name Saccharomyces cerevisiae (brewer's yeast). RNAcentral's name for it is "partial large subunit ribosomal RNA". It matches the Rfam family "Eukaryotic large subunit ribosomal RNA", at positions 62 to 648 of the family's 3401-position model. The record is from RNAcentral. Lineage: Eukaryota; Fungi; Ascomycota; Saccharomycetes; Saccharomycetales; Saccharomycetaceae.